This is a non-coding RNA of Zootoca vivipara (common lizard), 720 nucleotides long. The record is from RefSeq and is a predicted model, not a curated record. Lineage: Eukaryota; Metazoa; Chordata; Lepidosauria; Squamata; Lacertidae.
CAACCCCAGAAGAAAUUCUGUUUCCCUUUCCAAAUCCAUCUGCUCACCUGGCCAAGAUCGAAGUUGGCCUGAACAUCAAUCUUGUCGAUGGGAUUCUCUGGGGCUGGGCGUUUUUUGGGGCCCUGGGCAGCGCCGGGUGCAGCAAGGAGCAGGGGGAGCAAGAGGACGAAAGGGAACGAGGUGGGACCCAUGGCCGGACUGCGAAGAGCUUGUGGGGCAGGAGAGGAGGGGGCGAGAGCUGGUCAGUCAUUAACCAGCCCUAUGAAUUUUCCUGAAAGGCCGAAGCCAAGGCUGACCCAAAGGGAGCAAAGUCUCGCUAGCUUGUGAAAUCUACACCUGUCAGCGCAUGGCAGAGACUUCCCUGGCGCCACCAUGAAAAGGGGAGUGGAGCAGAGUGGACACAGCUGGACAUGUGUUGCCGCCUUGGAGCAAAUAGCCGGUCUCCACAGGUUCCUCAAUUGAAUUCCCUGGGCAUCCUGGCCACUCUUUUGUUACUCAGUUCCUGAAUCCAGGCCACAGGCUCACACCCUAUUCCUAUCUUAAAGGUGCCCUUAAGACCGGAUUUGUGAAAGAGACGAUGGGGAGAUUUCCGAUUUCCGUCAACCUUGCAGAGAAAUAUUUGAGGUCAUUUUGGGAGAGAGAAAAUGAUUUCAGGACUUUUCUGUGGCUUUCAGACACGUGGUUUACAUAUUUGUAUGUGUUUGCUUGGUACAUUUAUGA